AGAUAGGAAGGCAUCUCUUGAUGGUGGUCUGUACCUACCUGAUGCCUUUCAAAGAAGCUUUCCUGAAAGCUGUGCUGCUGAACUGAGUGCUUGCAAACCCUCACCAGACAGCUGACGGAGCAUAGACGGUAACUGUCCUCCUGGCUCCUACACAUCUCUAUGAGCCACACAGAACUCAGUUGUCAGAUAACUUCACAGGCAAAAAAGGCAAGAAGAGGUGAGCGGCAGCAGCAGAGCUGCUGGUAUGUGAGGGGAGCAGGAGAGCUCCUGCACAGGAGUGACCACUCACGUGAGAAAGAGAGGAAAAGGAUAAAGCACAUCCAUUUGGCUGGGGAAAAGAGGGGAUCCUGCUGGCUUGAGAAAACUGCCCCCCUAAGCUGGAUGAGUGAACACCUAGAAAAAAAAAUGUCAGCUUACUGAUCAUAAUAGGGGCUGAAAUUUAUUAUGUGCUGCAUAGCCUAAUGGUGUCUGUUAAAUCUGCAGACAAAGCACUUGCUGAGAUUGUGGGAAAUCUACACAAUCACCUAUCCUGGGGGUCACUGGCGAUGAUAGAGCAUUUCUGUUUUUAUAAAGAGAACGUGAAAGAAAAUGAACAUUUCUGAAUACGUGGCUGGAAUAGAGAAAUGUCCAGAGAUUUCCCAGGGUGUAGGGAAUAUAAAUGAUGCAUGAAGGAAUGGGGUUCUCUGUGUUCAGGGAAA
This is a long non-coding RNA of Lagopus muta (rock ptarmigan), 698 nucleotides long. RefSeq lists it as uncharacterized. The transcript is spliced from 3 exons. NCBI's taxonomy places the organism in Eukaryota, Metazoa, Chordata, Aves, Galliformes, Phasianidae. The record is from RefSeq and is a predicted model, not a curated record.